RNAcentral lists this long non-coding RNA (1226 nucleotides) under Strigops habroptila (Kakapo). Its description in RNAcentral is "lncRNA (ENSSHBG00005004104.1)". The record is from RNAcentral. Lineage: Eukaryota; Metazoa; Chordata; Aves; Psittaciformes; Psittacidae.
GGACAGGAGACACACUGUUUUAUUGCCUUCAAGUCUUGCUAAGACAAGUGUUUAUAGUAACUUCUUUGCCAAAGGGCAAAAGAAAUAGAUUGCUUAGACAGAUCUUUAUUAAAAAUAACUACUAUAAUGCAGGAUGAUUAGAAGUAUAAUGGACUAUGUAGCUCCAGUGCUGCAGAGCUCAGUGGGGGCUAGCUGGUCUUUGGAGAGGAGCUGUGGAAGUGAGCAGCAUGCUGGCACAGCUAGGGUGAUCACAGUGCAAAGGCAGUGAGUGGUCAAGAGCUGGCUCUGAUACAUGUGCCACACGCUACAGCACGGGCACAACCUUAAUACAUGGCUUAAUUCUUCAGUACAUUGCCUAAUAGUUUCUGUGCCAAACACAGGAAUCCCUGAACACUAAUAACACUACACAGACCAGAAUGACACCUCAUGUAUCCCAUGUUUGCAUCCCGUACAAAGUUACAGUUUAGCUAAACAAUUAGUAGUGUUUCCUAGACCAGUGACUACUGGUUUUAGUCAUCCUGCACUGCAAGACAGGUGGAGCACGCUGGGGUGGAAGUUUAAAAACCGAAACAUAGCCCCAUGUGCAGUCUCCACAACCAUGAUUAAAAACCCAGAAAUCAACUAGAGGUAACAAGAGCUACUCUCCACAACUUGCCACUUUUCUGGUUUUAAAGCACAGAUCUGAGUACAGAAGCUUGCACAAUAGUCUGACUCACGCACUGCAGAGGUAAAAAGCUCUGUGCCAUCUCAGUAAUUUAAUUGGGGUAAGUGCUUGCAGCCUUCCAGGAAACAUGAUUUCCCCAUCCCCUUUUUUUAAAACCAUUUUUUUCUAUUACAAAUUAACAAUGGAAAACCUGCCUGUGCAGCUUUGUGAAGUGCUGGCUUGUUGUCCAAAGGAUUGGCAACCGCUUCCCAUGAUGAUUUUCUCCUUUAUGAUCUGCUGGUAAUCUUUGUAACACCAGUGGCGGAAAAGAACCCAAUCUGAUUACAAGUGAUUACAAGUACUGAUACUGACCGGCUGUUUUGGAGAGUAGGAGAGUAAUAUACCAUGUUUAAACUGCCUGUCAGCACACAGACGUGACCUGCUGCUUGAAUUCAUGUGGGGCUGUUAACACCAAUCAUUCUGUUUUCUUACUCACACUGAAGUGAGUUUUGCUGUCUUUAUGAUGCAAAGAUGGUAUAGCCAGUGUUGCAAAGUAAGAAGUCCAAAAUAACUUUUAUUAAGA